RNAcentral lists this ribosomal RNA (536 nucleotides) under uncultured bacterium. Its description in RNAcentral is "bacterial SSU rRNA". It matches the Rfam family "Bacterial small subunit ribosomal RNA", at positions 340 to 877 of the family's 1533-position model. The record is from RNAcentral.
UACGGGAGGCAGCAGUGAGGAAUAUUGGUCAAUGGACGCAAGUCUGAACCAGCCAAGUAGCGUGCAGGAUGACGGCCCUAUGGGUUGUAAACUGCUUUUAUAUGGGGAUAAAGUGGGGAACGUGUUCCCUUUUGCAGGUACCAUAUGAAUAAGGACCGGCUAAUUCCGUGCCAGCAGCCGCGGUAAUACGGAAGGUUCGGGCGUUAUCCGGAUUUAUUGGGUUUAAAGGGAGCGUAGGCCGUUUGGUAAGCGUGUUGUGAAAUGUAGGAGCUCAACUUCUAGAUUGCAGCGCGAACUGUCAGACUUGAGUGCGCACAACGUAGGCGGAAUUCAUGGUGUAGCGGUGAAAUGCUUAGAUAUCAUGAAGAACUCCGAUUGCGAAGGCAGCUUACGGGAGCGCAACUGACGCUGAAGCUCGAAGGUGCGGGUAUCGAACAGGAUUAGAUACCCUGGUAGUCCGCACAGUAAACGAUGGAUGCCCGCUGUUAGCACCUAGUGUUAGCGGCUAAGCGAAAGCAUUAAGCAUCCCACCUGGG